Molecule: RNA transcript, 3558 nt
Organism: Abrus precatorius (Indian licorice)
Lineage: Eukaryota; Viridiplantae; Streptophyta; Magnoliopsida; Fabales; Fabaceae
Gene name: protein DETOXIFICATION 27
Exons: 9
Source: RefSeq, a predicted model, not a curated record
AUUCUUCAAUUUCUUUCCUUUUUUUUCUUUCUUAUCCUUCUCUUCCCUCGUUUAUUUCACACUCCAUUCUAAGAAUCUCAUCAAUUAUUUUUGUUACUUGUAUACUUUACUUUUUGGGUUGCAGAAAUAAAGAUAAAUAACAUAAUACAAUAAAAACAAAAAUGCAAGUGUAUGAAUGUAAUCAUUAAUUUUACUUACGAAUGAGAUAAGACCAAAAAACAACUGUUUAAAAGCUUCCUACUUUCGAACCCUUCGUCAUCACUUCUCUUCCGUUUUCUUUUGUUCGUUUCACUUUUGUGUUUCGAAACCCAAAAGAAACUAACCGCAGAGCAGCGUGUACGCGGCACUCAGAGAUGCCAAGCAAGGGGAAGGAUUCUCCAUCGUUGGGAGAAGUAAAGGUUCCAUUGUUAGAAGCUCACCCUUUAACGGAUGAAGAAGAACAGAAUGAAGACAUUGCACGAAAAAUUUGGGUUGAAUCAAAGAAACUCUGGCACAUUGUGGGCCCCGCAAUCUUCAGCCGUAUAGCAUCCUAUUCCAUGUUAGUCAUCACACAAGCCUUCGCGGGCCACCUCGGUGAUCUCGAACUCGCUGCCAUCUCCAUUGCCAAUAAUGUUAUCGUGGGAUUCGACUUUGGCCUCUUGUUGGGCAUGGCAAGCGCUUUGGAAACGCUGUGUGGGCAAGCAUAUGGGGCGAAGAAGUACUACAUGUUGGGUGUGUACAUGCAGCGUUCGUGGAUCGUUCUUUUCAUUUGCUGUGUUUUGCUUUUACCUAUUUAUCUAUUUGCAACGCCGGUGUUGAAGGUGUUGGGGCAGCCUGAGGAGUUGGCAGAGCUAUCUGGGGAGGUGGCAAUGUGGUUGAUACCGCUUCACUUUGCUUUUGCGUUUCAGUUUCCUUUGAAUAGGUUUUUGCAGAGCCAGUUGAAGACUUUGUCUAUUGCGUGGGUGUCACUGCUGGCACUGUUGGUGCAUGUGUUUGUGAGUUGGUUGUUUGUGUUUAAGCUUCAGUUUGGGGUUAUCGGUACUGCUGCUACCACUAACUUCUCUUGGUGGGUUCUGACUCUGGGCCUUUUUGGUUAUUCUGUUUGGGGUGGUUGUCCUCACACUUGGACUGGUUUUUCCGUUGAAGCAUUUUCUGGGCUUUGGGAGUUUGUCAAACUCUCUGCUGCUUCUGGGGUCAUGCUUUGCUUGGAGAACUGGUAUUACAGAAUUCUCAUAUUAAUGACUGGGAAUCUUCAGAACGCAGAGAUUGCCGUCGACGCUUUAUCCAUAUGUAUGACUAUAAAUGGUUUAGAAAUGAUGAUUCCUCUGGCAUUCUUUGCUGCAACUGGAGUGAGGGUUGCAAACGAGCUUGGAGCUGGGAACGGAAAAGGAGCCAAGUUUGCUACUACGGUAUCUGUGGUGACAUCGGUUAUAAUAGGACUCUUCUUCUGGAUGUUGAUUUUGAUAUUGCACGAUAAAUUCGGCUACAUUUUCUCUAAUAGCAAAGCCGUCCUUGACGAAGUAAACAAUCUUUCUCUUCUAUUAGCCUUCACAAUUCUGCUCAACAGUGUUCAGCCAGUUCUCUCAGGGGUGGCUGUAGGAUCGGGGUGGCAAUCAUAUGUUGCAUACAUAAAUUUGGGUUGCUACUAUAUUAUUGGGGUGCCUCUUGGAUUUGCGAUGGGCUGGGUCUUCAAUCAAGGACUUAUGGGAAUCUGGGCGGGGAUGAUUUUCGGUGGGACAGCGACUCAAACAUUAAUAUUGGGCUUGAUUACAAUUCGGUGUGACUGGGACAGAGAGGCUGAGAAAGCAAAAUUGCAUCUAACGAAGUGGGGAGAUCCAAAACGUGAACUGAACUAGAGCUUCUUUAAGAUAUAAGAAAUCUGAAUUGAAGGGCUGCUUUCUUCGUAACAUAAUUGCCAAAGGGAUUGGCAUAUUAAAUUGGUGGAAACUAUAUAAUUACGAAGAGAGCGUAUUUCAGCAUUAUUUAAAUUCAAUCAUUAAGGCCCAGUCCAUGAACUUCUUGGACUGAUCAAGUGGCCCAUAAUUUCUCCAAUAUCUACUCUUCUUCUCCACUGUUUUAUCUUUCCAUGCUACUGAUUCUACUUUUGAUUCUGGGGUUUUAUGUCUUUGCGAUAUUUUUGUUCUGUCUUCGUUCUUGCGUGCCUCUGCAAAAUCAAAACAGUAAAGCCAUUGUGAUUUAUUCAGGGCAGCAAACUAAAGACUUGACAGGAAUAAAAAGACAUUUUUGUCUAAACAUAAGCAAUGCUACCAGACAAAAGACGAACACACACAGCACGGGAGUCUGGGCUGGGUUAAUUUUUGGUGGACCGUCAAUUCAGACUUUGAUAAUUGCUUGGGUUUAGUGUUCGAUGUGACUCGGACAGAGAGGUAAAUAAAAGAUUCUCUGCAACAAAUUUCACUUUUAUUGAUAUAUUUGCAUUUGCACAUAGCUAGAUAAUUUAAUACAUUUUGUUGGUUCAUACCCAAAUCAAAAUUUGAUCAAGUAGCACUUCUUUUUCAUGCAAUUGACCUAAAACCAAUUGAACUAGAGUUAGCUUAUGAUCAUUCUCAAAUCUCCUUCUUUAUGUGAUAAUUUAAAACCCCACAUUAAUUAAAGGAAAUCGCGAGUCGUUUAUUUUUUUGUAAGAAAAUCGCGGGUUAUGUCUAUUGUGGCUUUGGACUUUGGCCCCCAAACAGCCUUUUUAUUGGUGCUCCCUUUUUGUUGGGCUGGCAAGGGUACAAAUGAUGGCCUGUUAGAGCUACUUAAAUUGCUUGUCGAAUUUUAAUUCUUCACUCAAUUCAGACCAAAAAAACUUCACUCAAUCAAGUUAAAAUGGAACAAAAUCAAUGUUUUAAGAAUUAAGAUAAACUGAUUCAAUUAUAAACUGAUUAUAUUUUAAUUUAAAAACUAUUUAAUUCAAUGCUUGAGUAUUUAAUUAGUCUAAUCAUUGGUUUAGUUUUUAUAAAAGCCGCAAACAUGAACCAAAAUUUAAAUCAUAGCACAAAACAUAUUCCAAAUCAUUUCGAAUUCAAGGGCUAUUGGAAAUGCAUGGCCGCUUUAGGGUACUGAGGAUUUGAGAUUUGAAGAAAAGAUGUUGUCCCGAAGUAUAUAAACAAAGGUUUGGAGUAGGAUCAUGUCAAAUUUCCCAAAACAGUUAUAAGCCACCUUGAAAUGUAUAAAUCCUUUUAAGAAUUCCAACAUUUUCCAAUUCUUUUCCAGAAACACGGGGACACAACCAUAGAAGAAAACAAAAACAAGCUACCUUAAACUGUGUAACAUAUUGAAGCUAUAUCCAUAUGUCAUUUUCUAGAAACGUAGGAGGCAUAAAGAAGUAUCCUUCUUCCAAAAGAAAUUGAUUUCAAAGAGAAAUUAGGAUCCGUCAUUCUAUCCGUCUCUAUCAAUGAACAACACAGGAAAUUAAUCAUCACGAGUAUCGUUUGAAACGCCACCUGUUGCUCCCACUCUAAUGGGUAACUGAUGUGCAUUACUUUUUCCAUUUGGUUUUAUAGUCUACAUAAAAUUGCUUCUACAAUGGAUAGCUAUAUUAAAAAAGAAAAGUAGGUGUUCUUUUACCUUAUU